CAGCAGCCAAGUAUUUCCCAUGAGGUGAAUCACUCUCUAGGCUCCAAUGACUUUAGCUCUCUGGUGACUACAAAGGGAGCUUAGGCACUUCCAGCAGAGAUCUACAUUUAUUUGUGUGUCCUAAUCUUUAAUGUAAUCCCACUUGUAAGGCUCCAGUCAGUCUUUGAACUGAAGGCACCUACUACCACAUGAAAUGCUCUAGGAUAUACAAGACAUCCACACAGGUUUGGCAGAUAUCAUGCAGGACCUAGGAGAGAACUGCACCUUUUUGGAGCAGCAGCAGCAGCAGUAGACCAGAACAGCUCAGUUUGACAACAGACUGCAGGAGUCCUGUUCACAGCCCUCUCUGGGAUAGCCCUUUGGCUGGGGGCUCACGGCCUUCCAUGGGAGCUAUGGACCGCUAGAGUUGUGGCACAGUCAAUUCGGGAAGGAUGUAUCCUGUGUUACGUGUCCUGGACUGUCCGUAUAGAGAAGGAUUAAUGCAACAUAGUGCAACUGAGACAACGGUUCUUCUGGAUAAACAAGAGAAAAUGCAAUCAGAGUGAAAUCUCUUUUCCUAUUUUCUGUGAUGCUCAUGGGGACAAGGGCCCUGGAAGAUAUUUCCAGUGUGGAGUGUCCCUGAGCUCCACAUAUAUAUGCUGUUAGGAGGCUCUACAGAAGCAAGAAAGGAGCCAUCGUAGGACCUCUUGGAUCAACCAUAGAAGAGCAACAGAGCACUCUCCAAAAUGCCCUGAAGCCUGAGCAUGUGUCCCUGAGUCCUUAGCAGCAACAGCAGCAGAGAGAUCUCAGUGACCAGCCUUUUUCCACAACUCUGUCCUUAAAAGAUUAAAUGCUGUACUUUAUAGCAAGUGCUGGCAGAAUUUAAAUAGGUUGCAGUACCUGUGUUUAAUUUCGCCUCUCCCUUUUGGAAGCAGUGGUUGAGAUGGGCUCACAAACGCCAAAGAAAGGCAGCUGUGACUAGUUCCUGGCUGGAGCUGGGGGAAGAGAGAGGGGAGGCAUAAAGGGCAAAGAGAGUUUUCUUGAGCACUCAGGCUGUCCCGGCUGGUGUCUGCUUGGCCUGUUGAGACUAGACAAAGUGACUGCAUGGCCCAUUUGGACUAAGUCUAUACAGAGCCCCAGGUACGUGGCCUGAUAGUUAUAUAAACUAAUAAUGUAGAUUGUAAAAUUAAAUAGUAUGAUUUCAUUCUGCAAAUGAUUUGGGGACAUAGUUUACAGAAAAGACACAAUACAAAGGAAAAUUGUAUUGCAUGGUAUUAUUCUUUAUGAGUUUCUUGUACUUUAAUAUGGUAUAAAGUUCAUAUUAAUAGGUGCCAUUUUUAUGGAGAAAUUUAUAGCCAAAGCAUGGCAAUUUCUCUGCUGCAAGAGCUUCACAGAGAAAAUUAAAUUUGACCAUUGCUCUAUUUUUUAUAUGUAUGGAUAUUCUGGUGUGAAGCAGUGAAUUGUUUAAACUUGAGAGCUUUUAUAUUGUAUGCUUUUUUUAUUAGCCACUUUGUUCAUGAUCAGUGUUUCUGCGGCAUCAGUAAAAGAGUAUGGGAACUGUCCAUGGGCCAAAAUGACAUCUGUACUUUUUCAUUUGCAUCAGCUGAAGAAUGUGUAGCCUAGAGACACAAUUAAUGUUAGGCUGGCCUCUUCCCCAGAUUAGUGGUCUCCUACGUGUAGGUUUAUACACCAUAUGUGAAGGGCCAAAUUAGUCCUGCUUGGGUCACUUUUUCCUUGAUCGCUUCGAGAACUAAGCCCACAACAGUGGCUGUCUGUAUAGAUGCAACUUUCCAUGGCUGAACCGACAUUUACCUGCAUAGGGAUUUUUCAGUAAAACAUUCUGUAUCAGAUGCUGGGACAUAAAACACACCAAAGUAUAUGUAGUAGUUGAAUUCUAUCAAGAUCAAGUGCCUCUUCUGAGGUAAAAAAUCUAGGUGUAAAGGCUACUGCCUUUUUCCUUCUUUGUCUGGUGCUGUGAAAAGAUCCCUAAACUGUGCACACAGACGUGGUAGAUUGCCAGGUUUCCUCGAUGUGGCUUCAACAGUGGUUCUGCAAGCACAAGGUUGCAGGUCCGUUACCUGGUCUAAAGGGCCAGUCCAGGACGCAAUGACCAAAUGUGUGGGACGUUAUGCAGGCAGAGGUGGAGGGGGAUGUGGUGAAUAGUGAUGGCUGGAUAAGGGACUCUCUUCAUUCCUGGCCUCAGUGCCCCGGCCAGCCCUGCUAUGGGACCGAGAAGUCUUUCAUCUUGUAGAAAGUAGAAGACUGUAUUGUCUUGGCCCAUUAGAUAAGACCAUGAGUAUGCUAUAUAUAUCUAUAUAUAUAUUUCUGCAAAGCAGAAAAGGAUGGUGGGAUAUAGAGGAAAGUGGAAGUCAGAAAUUUUCUAAGUUAUGUAAUAAAACUUAAUUUAUACUGUCCUUUUCCUCCACUUUGCCUCUGUGUCAGUAUUCAUGCCCUUCUGUGAUCUGCUUUGCUUGGGAGGGACUGGCAUCAUAAUGCUAGAGUGGACUGGUACUACUAAAUUUGGGCUGUGUGCUUUUGUAGGGGAACUGGGAUGCACAGCCUCUCCCACUGUUUACAUAGGAAUGCCAAUACAAUGCUUCGUUGAAGCAAUUAGAUAUAUUAUUCUGAUCGCAUAUUUUGGAGAAGAUAAUUAGAGAAUAUUUAGAAAAAAAUAAAAAGGGGACAAGAAAUGUUUCCAUUUUUAUCUUCUGCCUUUAAAAACAGGUUACCUAGUUUAUGCAUUAUACAUGAUAUUAAGAUUAUACUGCAAAAUAAAUAUAUUUUAAAAAUGUGAGUCUAUCUAUAAAAUGCUUUAAUCAAGGACCAUAAAUAUUCAAAAUCUUUUAUCAUAAUUGUUUGUUUGUUUAUUACAAGGUACAGCAGGAUAGUGGGGGGUAUUGUUUAGUGCCUUUACAAUACAAUUUCAUGCCUUAAAGCUUGGAUUUUUCCAGUAGAACUUUACUUCUGACUUCCUGAUUUUUUUGACUACUCAAAAAUGAGAUAAUUGCAACAUGUGAGUAAUUUUUUUUUAUGCUAAAUGGCGGAUAUGUAUGCGGUCUUAUGGUAGUUUUUUGCUUGAGAAUAUAUAAAAGUACAUGUCUUUCUAUUUAUGUAAGUGUUUAUAUAUUCAUUUACAACUCAAAUUUCUUCAGGCUGCUAUAAAAAUGUUAUUAUAAAGGAACAAUAAUUUGAAGACUACUGUCAUGUGUCAAAACUCCAUAAUUUUCGUAAGCCCUUUUAAGCACUGCACACUUCAUUGUCAUAUUUUGGAUCUUGUAGAGCACAGUACCAGGUCUGGUACAUUAGCUGUAAUCUUGGAAAUGUGCAUCUAGAAAUGUAUUUUGAAGUAAAACUAGGAGGAUAGUAGAAAACAAGAAAAGUGAGGAAUAACCUCCUUUUCCAUGUCUUUGUUCUUUCUCUCAUCAUCUAGAACGUCUUAACAUUAGAGAGAAAACAACAAAAACCUCCCUCCAAAACUUAUAGAAAGACACAUGAACAUUUUUGUCAUUGUGUAACAUCCAUGUCAUUAACCAUUAAAAUUAAAUAGCGCUGUUCCCGGGGCGGGGUGGGUAGUUGUAUGAUCAAAUCACUGCCUUAUGCUCUUGUUUUUUUCCAUGAUCAGUUCAAUCAUGUAUUUAUUCACCAAACUCAUUAGAAUUGCAAUGGUAAUCAGAGAGAGGAAAUGGUUUCCAUCUAUCAUCCUGUUUCUAACAAGAAGAGGUAACAGACCAUUUUAGUUACAGUGCAUUAAUGCUCAUUACUGCCCUAAUGAAGAUUUGUGUUGCUUUUCCAAGAACCUUCAAACUAAUCUGCAACUUCCUCUUAGCUUUCAAAGAAACACCAGUUUUCACAUGACUUCAACCUACUCGAGCAAAGAAAGAGGUAUUAGUCUGACCAUUAUAAAAUAUAGUUUUGUAGAUAAGGGAAACUAAUAUGAUGAACAUGAGAUAAAACAUAGUUGCUUAAUUACUAUGGCUAAAUUCUAUGAGCUGGGUAAACAUCUGAUUGACUUGAUCUCUGUGCCUGGAUUUUUUUCCUAGCACCUGUAUCUGUGCUGCUUAAUGUGUGGCUAGUAUUAAACUAUAACUGAUUAAGCUAUUACCUAUUAAACUGUUACCACAUAUUUAAGUGGUAUUUGAGUACUUGUGAUAUAUUAUAGUAGCCAAAUGCCCACUGCAUACCUUGCCUAAUCUAGAUUUCCACAUAACUGGGCUUGGUAUCAUCUCAACAACAUUCAUUCUUACACUGAAAUACUCAUGCUGCAAUGGGAAAUUCAAAAUGCUCUUGCCUGGGACUUUCCUUAGUGUCUUACCUGCCCUUGCAAAACCCCAAAGGAGACAGAGCUAGCAGUGAGUACUGCCUGGUAACUGACUUUGCACUGCAGGGUGUUUACUGUCACCGUAAGAUUAAGCUCCAAGAGAAAGCCAUGUUCAGGGCCUAUUGCAUGUCAGCAGAAAGACAGGCAUGCCACAAAACCUGCUUUUCUGGUGCCCCCUGUCACUGCUGUCUCGGGGCUUGACACAGUUAACAAGCCCACAUGUGACUGAACUUUCGCUUGCUAGUGCGGGCGUUAGCACACGUGUCUGCUGUAAAAUGUGGACUCAGGUUUUCACUCGGUUUUUGCCUCCAAGUGAAAUUGGUUAUUUGUUGGAAACGAGCACCUAUUUAAAUAUCUGCCUCUAUCAGGCCUCAAAUGCCUGCAGCUCCCAAACACAUAAGGAGUUACUUUCCUGAGCUUUGUGUUAAGGGUCUGUUGGAAAACAUUUGUCCCUUAGUAACUACUUGACAUUUGGACAAAAAGAGUUUAAAAGAAAGGAAGUAACUCGGUGGACUUAGGAACAUUUAAAUGCAUCCUAAGGAAAGACCAACUUGAGUGUUGUUUAAAGAGUUUUAAUUUUGUUGGCCAGGGCUACUGGGAACUAAGAAAGCCCUUUACACUUGGAAACAAGCUUGCCAAACCAUUUCCUUUGUGUAUCUUGUUCUGCAGAAGUAACAGAAUAUUCCAUUCCUGCAUAUUUUAAUAAUGCCAAAGGAAAAGGUGUGUGAAGAGUCAAGAAAAGCAGCUUUCUGACCAGGCUGUUGCUGUCUGUUCCCAUGGUUUAUGCAUAAUAGUGAUGACACACAAUUCCUUCUUCCUGUGGAAACGAUAUCUAUCACCAAGAGAAGUUCUGCUGCUCCAUGAAAGACUGACCUUUUUACUGGUAGCAGCUUGGCAGGUGUUUGCUUUUGUUUUUAGAUAUUUGACUUGUAAAAAUUAAAAUAUACUCUUGGGAUUUGACUAUC
Long non-coding RNA from Dromaius novaehollandiae (emu), 5262 nucleotides. RefSeq lists it as uncharacterized. Lineage: Eukaryota; Metazoa; Chordata; Aves; Casuariiformes; Dromaiidae. The record is from RefSeq and is a predicted model, not a curated record. The transcript has 3 exons.